ACAACAGCCCUGCGCACGGGCAGGGUGUGAACCCCGCCAGGUCCGGAAGGAAGCAACGGUAAGCACCUGGGCCCGGUGCCGCAGCAAGCUGUUGUCUG
RNAcentral lists this signal recognition particle RNA (98 nucleotides) under Nitrospirota bacterium. Its description in RNAcentral is "Nitrospirae bacterium signal recognition particle sRNA small type". It matches the Rfam family "Bacterial small signal recognition particle RNA". Rfam says of the family: The signal recognition particle (SRP) is a universally conserved ribonucleoprotein involved in the co-translational targeting of proteins to membranes. Archaeal SRP consists of a 7S RNA and homologues of the eukaryotic SRP19 and SRP54 proteins. In most bacteria, the SRP consists of a 4.5S RNA and the Ffh protein (a homologue of the eukaryotic SRP54 protein). Lineage: Bacteria; Pseudomonadati; Nitrospirota. The record is from RNAcentral.